RNAcentral lists this ribosomal RNA (644 nucleotides) under Tolypothrix distorta BTA187. RNAcentral's name for it is "bacterial SSU rRNA". It matches the Rfam family "Bacterial small subunit ribosomal RNA", at positions 119 to 796 of the family's 1533-position model. The record is from RNAcentral. Lineage: Bacteria; Bacillati; Cyanobacteriota; Cyanophyceae; Nostocales; Tolypothrichaceae.
UGGCCCCCUAACAUCAGCUUCGGGGAACCACUGGAACGGUGGCUAAUACCGAAUGUGCAGAAAUGUGAAAUAUUUAUAGAAUGAAAAUGAGCUCGCGUCUGAUUAGCUAGUAGGUGUGGUAAGAGCGCACCUAGGCGACGAUCAGUAGCUGGUCUGAGAGGAUGAUCAGCCACACUGGGACUGAGACACGGCCCAGACUCCUACGGGAGGCAGCAGUGGGGAAUUUUCCGCAAUGGGCGAAAGCCUGACGGAGCAAUACCGCGUGAGGGAGGAAGGCUCUUGGGUUGUAAACCUCUUUUCUCAGGGAAGAAUUUAAUGACGGUACCUGAGGAAUAAGCAUCGGCUAACUCCGUGCCAGCAGCCGCGGUAAUACGGAGGAUGCAAGCGUUAUCCGGAAUGAUUGGGCGUAAAGCGUCCGCAGGUGGCGAUGUAAGUCUGCUGUUAAAGAAUCUGGCUCAACCAGAUAAAGGCAGUGGAAACUACAUGGCUAGAGUGCGUUCGGGGCAGAGGGAAUUCCUGGUGUAGCGGUGAAAUGCGUAGAGAUCAGGAAGAACACCGGUGGCGAAAGCGCUCUGCUAGGCCGCAACUGACACUGAGGGACGAAAGCUAGGGGAGCGAAUGGGAUUAGAUACCCCCAGUAGUCA